GGGUUGUGAGGUUAAGCGACUAAGCGUACACGGUGGAUGCCCUGGCAGUCAGAGGCGAUGAAGGGCGUGCUAAUCUGCGAUAAGCGCCGGUAAGGUGAUAUGAACCGUUAUAACCGGCGAUACCCGAAUGGGGAAACCCAGUGUGAUUCGUCACACUAUCAUUAACUGAAUCCAUAGGUUAAUGAGGCGAACCGGGGGAACUGAAACAUCUAAGUACCCCGAGGAAAAGAAAUCAACCGAGAUUCCCCCAGUAGCGGCGAGCGAACGGGGAGGAGCCCAGAGCCUGAAUCAGCAUGUGUGUUAGUGGAAGCGUCUGGAAAGGCGCGCGAUACAGGGUGACAGCCCCGUACACAAAAGCGCAUGUGCUGUGAGCUCGAUGAGUAGGGCGGGACACGUGGUAUCCUGUCUGAAUAUGGGGGGACCAUCCUCCAAGGCUAAAUACUCCUGACUGACCGAUAGUGAACCAGUACCGUGAGGGAAAGGCGAAAAGAACCCCGGCGAGGGGAGUGAAAAAGAACCUGAAACCGUGUACGUACAAGCAGUGGGAGCACCCUUCGGGGUGUGACUGCGUACCUUUUGUAUAAUGGGUCAGCGACUUAUAUUCUGUAGCAAGGUUAACCGUAUAGGGGAGCCGGAGGGAAACCGAGUCUUAAUUGGGCGUUAAGUUGCAGGGUAUAGACCCGAAACCCGGUGAUCUAGCCAUGGGCAGGUUGAAGGUUGGGUAACACUAACUGGAGGACCGAACCGACUAAUGUUGAAAAAUUAGCGGAUGACCUGUGGCUGGGGGUGAAAGGCCAAUCAAACCGGGAGAUAGCUGGUUCUCCCCGAAAGCUAUUUAGGUAGCGCCUCGUGAAUUCAUCUCCGGGGGUAGAGCACUGUUUCGGCUAGGGGGCCAUCCCGGCUUACCAACCCGAUGCAAACUGCGAAUACCGGAGAAUGUUAUCACGGGAGACACACGGCGGGUGCUAACGUCCGUCGUGAAGAGGGAAACAACCCAGACCGCCAGCUAAGGUCCCAAAGUCAUGGUUAAGUGGGAAACGAUGUGGGAAGGCCCAGACAGCCAGGAUGUUGGCUUAGAAGCAGCCAUCAUUUAAAGAAAGCGUAAUAGCUCACUGGUCGAGUCGGCCUGCGCGGAAGAUGUAACGGGGCUAAACCAUGCACCGAAGCUGCGGCAGCGAACGUAUCACCCAAGACAACUUUACGGAGUUGACGAUUGACGGAGCGAAGCGACGUCAAAGCGUUCAUUAAAGUCGAGUUGGCUUAGGGAUACGUUCGUUGGGUAGGGGAGCGUUCUGUAAGCCUGUGAAGGUGUGUCGUGAGGCAUGCUGGAGGUAUCAGAAGUGCGAAUGCUGACAUAAGUAACGAUAAAGCGGGUGAAAAGCCCGCUCGCCGGAAGACCAAGGGUUCCUGUCCAACGUUAAUCGGGGCAGGGUGAGUCGACCCCUAAGGCGAGGCCGAAAGGCGUAGUCGAUGGGAAACGGGUUAAUAUUCCCGUACUUGGUGUUACUGCGAAGGGGGGACGGAGAAGGCUAUGUUGGCCGGGCGACGGUUGUCCCGGUUUAAGCGUGUAGGUGUGUGUUCCAGGUAAAUCCGGUUCAC
This 1599-nucleotide ribosomal RNA is filed under the name Salmonella enterica subsp. enterica serovar Typhimurium. Its description in RNAcentral is "partial 23S ribosomal RNA". It matches the Rfam family "Bacterial large subunit ribosomal RNA", at positions 1 to 1550 of the family's 2925-position model. Lineage: Bacteria; Pseudomonadati; Pseudomonadota; Gammaproteobacteria; Enterobacterales; Enterobacteriaceae. The record is from RNAcentral.